This 118-nucleotide ribosomal RNA is filed under the name Varanus rosenbergi. RNAcentral's name for it is "partial 16S ribosomal RNA". Lineage: Eukaryota; Metazoa; Chordata; Lepidosauria; Squamata; Varanidae. The record is from RNAcentral.
UAUGCACCAUUCUCUUCAGUACGAAAGGACCGAGAAAAUAGGACCUACGCCUCUGGCAAGUCCUUAACCCCAUGAAGCAAUAUCAAUCCUACAGUACCCCACCACCCAAGAACAGGGC